Molecule: ribosomal RNA, 310 nt
Filed under: uncultured eukaryote
Lineage: Eukaryota
Description: partial 18S ribosomal RNA
Rfam family: Eukaryotic small subunit ribosomal RNA
Source: RNAcentral
CCCUUAGAUGUUCUGGGCGGCCCGCGCACUACAAUGGCGCUUUCAGCGAGUUCCUAUGUUGAAUUUUCCUGGGUAUUCUUGGAAGCGGCGUCUUGACUUGGGAUAGAUCCUUGUAAUUGUUGGUUUUGAACGAGGAAUUCCUUGUAAUCGCGGUUGAUCAGCUCGCGUUGAAUACGUCCCUGCCCUUUGUACACACCGCCCGUCGCUCCUACCGAUGAAUCGUCCGGUGAAGUUCACAGAGUGGCGGUUCGUGGAGUUGCUCGCGAAGUGAAAUGGACCUCACGAUGUAGAGGAAGGAGAAGUCGUAACA